This 331-nucleotide ribosomal RNA is filed under the name uncultured bacterium. RNAcentral's name for it is "bacterial SSU rRNA". It matches the Rfam family "Bacterial small subunit ribosomal RNA", at positions 568 to 898 of the family's 1533-position model. The record is from RNAcentral.
UCCGUAGGCGGUGCGGCAAGUCGAUAGUGAAAUCCCUGGGCUUAACUCAGGGGCUGCUAACGAAACUGCCGUGCUAGAGUGUGAGAGAGGCGAGUGGAAUUACGGGUGUAGCGGUGAAAUGCGUAGAUAUCCGUAGGAACAUCCGAGGCGAAAGCGGCUCGCUGGAUCACAACUGACGCUGAGGGACGAAAGCUAGGGGGAGCAAACAGGAUUAGAUACCCUGGUAGUCCUAGCCCUAAACCAUCAGGACUUGGGGUUUGCCCUGUACGGGGCAAGUCCCGUAGCUAACGCGUUAAGUCCUGCGCCUGGGGAGUACGGUCGCAAGGCUGAA